UGUUAAAGAUUUAAUCAAUUUCUACUAUUUAAAAUCUGGUGUCUAAUGAAAUAACUAGAUAGUUAUAAAUGGAGUGUCGCGUGUACCUUAUACUGACAUAUAGGGAUCAGUUUUUAACAGGAGAAAUGGAUAAAUUUUUAAUA
Molecule: non-coding RNA, 143 nt
Organism: Gossypium hirsutum (cotton)
Lineage: Eukaryota; Viridiplantae; Streptophyta; Magnoliopsida; Malvales; Malvaceae
Source: Rfam